CUGGUUUAGAUAAGCAGCCAUGUCAAUUCAUUCCUGGAGCUCCUGCACGUCACUGAAGCAGCUGAGGGAAACUUAGCAGCUCUCCUUGUAUGAGCAGCAGCACUGCUCUGUCACAGGGGUCCCCUGGGCCUGCCACAGCUGUGAAAAGCCCUGUUUAGCUCAGGUGUGAGGAAUUCUCUUGGACCUGCCCCUUAAUUUUGCCAGACUGGAGAAAUCAUUUGGCAUGCUCAUACUUCUUUAACCCCAUGAACUUGCAUGAUGAUUUCCCCUUCUGCAGUGAAACAGGUAACAUUUUCACAGAGGGGAACCUGCCUGGCUGGAACUGAAGGGGACUGAAGCAAGAGGUGUUCUGAACUUGGCAGCACAGCUCAGCUAAGGUAGAGAAGUCCACAGAAGUCCAUUUGCCUGGUAAAGCUGCAGUGGGGACAAUUAUCUCUCACAGCAACUACAGUUACAGGAAUUGGCUCCACAAACUUGGGGCUCUGUCUGCUUACAUUUGAACACUACUGAUAUGUGGCAGAGAAUUAUUCUGUGUGUAUUAAAUGCAGACUGAUGUUUUCCUUUGUGUCCAGUGUAUGUUUUGCUCCCAAAGGAAGGAAAAUGCAUUAUAAAACUGUCUUCCUUAUGCUUUCCUGUAAAGUGUCAGCUUCCUGAAAGUCAUGCAUGUAUUUGCAUUUAGUUCAUUUGGAAACUGAAGUCUGGAAUGAAUGGACAUAUCUGAGGUGAGGCAGUAAGUUGGUGUUACAAAGGAGAUGUUUGAGAUCACUUUUAAAAAAAUCUGGCAAGAGUAUGAGCAAAAGUCAGAUUUGUCCCUUUUAAGAGACUUUAAAAUCCCCUCCCCUUUAUCCUGCUUAGCAGUGUUGCCAUGACAGCUGACAGUCACAGGGAGGACAAGGACACAGCACACCUGGGUCAUUGUGAGCUUGGUUAGAAAUUUUAACCCAGUGCAGUUCCCUGUCCUGCAAUCAAAGGUACUGGAGGAAACACCAUCAUCUCUCUUUGCCCUGCACCCCAUACCCUGUUCAUGUGAUUAUCUUACAGCUUGUAAUUAUCUCCUCGGUGCAGCCCCCCAAGAAACAAUAAGCCCUCCUUACCUUCCUGCAGAAAGGAGUAACACACAUUGCCACUGAACAGACCUAGUUCAGCUGAAUUGUGAUGGCUCCUUAAAGAAUUACAAUAGCAGAAUUUGAUGGCA
Passer domesticus (house sparrow) is the source of this 1195-nucleotide long non-coding RNA. RefSeq lists it as uncharacterized. The record is from RefSeq and is a predicted model, not a curated record. NCBI's taxonomy places the organism in Eukaryota, Metazoa, Chordata, Aves, Passeriformes, Passeridae. The transcript is spliced from 3 exons.